Molecule: transfer RNA, 19 nt
Filed under: Ursus arctos (brown bear)
Lineage: Eukaryota; Metazoa; Chordata; Mammalia; Carnivora; Ursidae
Description: partial tRNA-Asp
Source: RNAcentral
GAGAUAUUAGUAAAAAUUA